AGCGAACGUUAGCGGCAGGCCUAACACAUGCAAGUCGCGCGAGAAUGGGGUCUUCGGAUCCCUAGUAAAGCGGCGGACGGGUGCGUAACACGUGGGUAAUGUACCCUUCAGCGGGGGACAACAGUCCGAAAGGAUUGCUAAUACCGCAUACGUCGGUGAGGCCUUCGGGCCUUGCCGGGAAAGGUGGCCUCUCCAUGGAAGCUACCACUGAAGGAGCAGCCCGCGGCCCAUCAGCUAGUUGGCGGUGUAAAAGACCACCAAGGCAAACACGGGUAGCUGGUCUGAGAGGAUGAUCAGCCUCACUGGAACUGAGACACGGUCCAGACUCCUACGGGAGGCAGCAGUGGGGAAUAUUGGGCAAUGGGCGCAAGCCUGACCCAGCCAUGCCGCGUGAGUGAUGAAGGCCUUCGGGUCGUAAAGCUCUGUGGGGAGGGACGAAACAGGCUGUGGCUAAUAUCCACGGCCCUUGACGGUACCUCCUUAGCAAGCACCGGCUAACUCCGUGCAGCAGCCGCGGUAAUACGGAGGGUGCAAACGUUGCUCGGAAUCAUUGGGCGUAAAGCGCACGUAGGCGGUCCGGUGUGUCGGGUGUGAAAUCCCUCGGCUCAACCGAGGAAGUGCAUUCGAAACUACCGGACUCGAGUAUGGAAGAGGGUCGCGGAAUUCCCGGUGUAGAGGUGAAAUUCGUAGAUAUCGGGAGGAACACCAGCGGCGAAGGCGGCGACCUGGGCCAAUACUGACGCUGAGGUGCGAAAGCGUGGGGAGCAAACAGGAUUAGAUACCUUGGUAGUCCACG
Molecule: ribosomal RNA, 796 nt
Filed under: uncultured bacterium
Lineage: Bacteria
Description: bacterial SSU rRNA
Rfam family: Bacterial small subunit ribosomal RNA
Source: RNAcentral